UCCAACAGAAAUAGACGGAAAGUGGAGCA
RNAcentral lists this non-coding RNA (29 nucleotides) under Homo sapiens (human). Lineage: Eukaryota; Metazoa; Chordata; Mammalia; Primates; Hominidae. The record is from RNAcentral.